Molecule: non-coding RNA, 4416 nt
Organism: Vicugna pacos (alpaca)
Lineage: Eukaryota; Metazoa; Chordata; Mammalia; Artiodactyla; Camelidae
Source: RefSeq, a predicted model, not a curated record
CUCAGGAUCCCUGCCAGAGGCUACAUCGUCUCCUGCUCAAAGACUGACUUGCUGAUGCGUUUCAUAUGAAACAAAGAAAAGACGGGGGCAGAGCAAACGGGGAAGGGGAGCAGCACAGCUGUGGAGACUUAAAAGUGCAACCCAAGAACUAAGGAAGCGAACGCCGUCUGCUCACAGGAAGCAGGAAAGGGACCAGAAGUGGGGAGAAGAAGUAAAAAGGAGAGAGCAGAGGCCCAGGAGAGAUUGGAUCCAAUGUCCCAACGGAGGCUCUGGGCAGGAGAGAAUCCAGCUUUCCCUUUGCAAAAGCUGGAAGGUACAGCAAGAAGCCAGCCAUCUGCACACCAAAAAGAGGGCUCCCACCAGAUACUGAAACUGCAAGCCCCCGAUCUUGGACUUCUCAGCCUCCAUAACUGUGAGAAAUAAAAGUCUGUUGUUUAAACAACCCCUAAGCCUAUGGUUACAGUAGCUUCUGACUAAAACAGAAGCCUUGGUCAUCUGUGGAGGGAAGGGUGGCCAUCGCUGAGGAGGGGCCAGGGGUAUAGCAGUGAAGGUUAAAGACUGCAGCUGGGAGAAUCAGGGGAAGAAAGGAUGCUGAUCAAGGGCUGUGGCUGUGCUGAGAACCCGGCAGAGGUCAGAGGACAAAGGCUCCAAAACACGUGCAAGAUGUGCUAGAAGGAAAUGCGUGAGGUUCAGAGAAAGAAGAAAAGUUUUUGGAGGAGAUAUCUAACUUCACAAAAAUAAAUCUUUUUUAUGGCACAGAGAAGAUUUUCUCUCUGAAGUUCCCAUGAGCAGUGUUAUUUAUCUAUGAAGAAGUCUCCUCCCACAAAGCAGCAGCAGUGAGCUCGUGGUACAGCCUGGCUUCCAGAGCACAGAGGCUGGAUUUUCAUCGACAUUCUUAGGCAGACUUCACAAGACUUUGAAGUGGCCGCUGUACGAAACGGGAGCAAGAAUAUCCAGUUUCCCAACUCGAGGCAAGGAAACGAAGGAUCUGAAGGGUUAAAUGACUCACUUCAGAUCAAACAGCUGUUGGAGGAGAAAUUCAGACGAAAAAGUCAAGUCUUCAGAGUCCUCUCAGGGUAGAAGGUUUAUUCUCUGAGCCCAUGUUGGAGGGAACCUAGGGCAUCAUCAAAAGCAGCUACACCAGUGUAGUCAUUCAUGGAACUCUUAAAGGUCAAGGUUUCGUCGCUGUUCAGGUACAAGAGUGAUGCCUGCAGGACAGUCCUUUGCAUGCGAACCCUGCCGGGUUCCAGGAAAUGCUCCUGGCUGUGCUCUGUGGCCGGGUGUCCCACGCUGACAGCUUGGUGCAGGCACCCUUCUUAGGGGCACGCUGUCAGUCUGGGCUUUUGUCCUGGUUGGCUCCUGGUUUUUUUAAUGCUGCUGGAAGUGCCACUCCUAUGAACGUGCUCCGCAGAGGCCACUUUGGCUUGCUGCCACCUGCCCUCACUGGAUUAAGAAGCGUGGAUCCAUUGCUAUUAUGGAGCCUGAAGCAGAGCCAAGAAGAAAUCUCAAAGGGCCCUCUCCCCAGACACGUGUGAGUAGAAUAAAAAUGAGACACAAAUGACGGCACAAAGCCUCCAGCACUCUUGGGGCAAAGUAGGGGGUGGGGUGCUGUGUUGUAGGCUAGGAGGAUGUUCUAGUUAUUGGGAAAGAAAUGAAAUUAAAGCAUGUUUUCCUUUACAGAUGAAGAUCCUUCAGACCUAUUAUCAACAGGGUGGCUCUUUUUCUGUUGUUUAUCCUCAGAGAGGGAACUGGAACUAUUAAAACAAAGGCACACAUUCAAGGCUGGGCAGGGCUGAGUGGAGAAGUGUCUCCAUGACUUUCUAGUUAUCCAGAGUCCCCAUCCUGAUGAUCAGAUAACAGAGGAAGCAAUUGAAUAUACUCAUUUAUACUAAAGUGUUAAAGACUUGAUGUGUUACUUCUCCCAGAGGCACCUACGCUCCAGAGGUAAUUACUUUCUAGAGGCCAGUGGAGGGCAAAGAAUAUUUAACAUAAAUGAAUAUACAGAACUAAUGGUAGAAAUUCAGGCACCAGCACUUUCAACUCACCCUACCCAGGAAACCAUCUCUUAAUACAAGAGUGGAUCUAAAUAUAUCUGUCUGAUGCGGUGACAAGAAAAAAAGGGAGUGUCAUGCGCAGCAAACCUAGAAGGGUAAGUCAUGACGUCUGCUAUUUUCCCUUCCUCCUUCCUUUACCAAUCAUUCUAGCCCUCAGAAUGUUUCCUGCAAUUUCAUGCGUCCAGUGCCUUUUUGCCCCUGUGACUAAACCAGUUCUGAAGAAUCAGCAAAGCCUGUCACAUGUUUUAUUAGCCAAGAUAGACUCAGUGCUGAGUUCAGUGCAAAAUAAAAUUAGAGGUCAAAAACAAUGCCAUGGAACAGAAUAAAAUAGAAACAAACAAACAAACCCCAGGAGGAAAUGUCAGGCCCCGCAAGAACUAUACAAAUAGCACGCAAAGGAGAGAGAAUCAUUACUGUUUUUAAUGAGAAAGAAGGACACUUAAGCUAAUGAUGCUUGAUUAUUUUUCCUUUUUACUAUGAGAGUAAGAAGAGAAAAAAAUCCAUUUGGUCGUAUCAGGGUCAGAGAAUUUACCAGAUAUUCGCCCACCAACAGCCUCUCAGUGCCUCUCGGUCAUUCCUUCGGUUGCCUGCACCAUCGCCUUUUGCUUUGGCUCUCUCUGCUUUGGCUCCAGCAAGACACUAUCAUGCGAUUCUACUUCAUUGUGGUGCCAGGGCAGGAGGAGUGGUCCAUCCCAGGAGCAGGCCCUUGAGAGGUGCACAGCCUGGAGAAGACUUAAAGACAAUCAUAAAACCAGCAAAAAAGCCAGUCUGCUUUCUAUUAUUGCCAUGGCAAGCUAUUCUAAACAAUGUCAGUAAUAAACUGCUCUCUCCCCAACCAAAAAAAAAAAAAAAAAAAAACUUUCCUUAGUCUAGGUUCCAAACAAUUGCUGCAAUUGAGUUUUAACAACAUAAAUGUAAGCUUCAGUUUAGCACAUUUUUUAUUGCUUCUCCUUUAGUAAACGGCCUACAUGGAAGUUGAUUUGGAGGAUUAACUGUGCAUUUAUUUUGAGAGUAAGUGCAUAAGAAAGUUUGCUUUGGGCACAAGUGUCCUUCCUCUCUGGUCCUUCAAAUCCCAGUAUUCAAACAAUUAAUUCGAAAUAAACAAUGAUAGCACAGUGAUUGUAAAGACAACUGAACUAGAGUUAUUUCAAUACCAUCAUUCUGUGUGACCACUUAAGGUUUUUAGUUGUGUUUAAAGUUUCUGGGAUUUAUUAUCAAAUAGGAUUUUCAUGCAUCCCUGCCAAAUGUGUCCUCAAGUUGAAGACUUUUCCUAUUUACUUAAACCGUUGCUUCAUGUGAAAGAAAUCUCCCAGAAUUAAAAUUAAUGAAAAGUGUUCUUUGACCAAAGAUGGAUCGAUGUGUCAGGAAUAUGGGAAGAGUAACAAGUUUGAUGAAGUCAUUGACAAAUUUGCAGAAGUUAAUUGCAAAAACAGAAACUGUAAAAUUACUCUUCAUGACUGUAAAAGACCAAUAGGUAGGUCUAAGUUUUCAUCUCUUUCUUCAAAAUAACAUUAAUGAAAUUGAAAGUAUUACUUAUAACCCUUCCUUCUUUUAGAUUGUGACAGCUAUUGUAUUUUUAUUUUUUUGUUGAUAUGAUACAAAGUUUCAUAAAAGAAAAUACAUUUUCUGGGGCUUAUUAUUGGUUUCAUUGCAUGAUUAUUACUAAAAAUAAUUCUGUCAUAUAGAAAGAAGGUGCACUCUGGGUGUCAAAUAUUAGCCCUAGCACCUCAACCUGUUACCCAUUCUGUUUAGGGGCUCCCUGAUUCUCUCCUUCCCACCCAGCCUCAUUCCCACCCCUGCCUCCAACACCCCCACCCAUCACGCCAAGAAAAGUAGAUCAGAUGUACUUAAAAUCAUUCAUCCGUCCUCCCAGGUUCUUUCAUCUUUCUCCUACUUUUUCAUGUAAAGAAGGGAGUUAGGUUACAAAAGUAGGAUUAAAACUCAUUCCUCUACCCUUUCUUCCCGGUUGUUGCGAGCAGAGAUGAACUGAAGACUGACCCUCCAGGAGCCACCUACCCACAUCUACCACCUCUUCUAAUAAGUGCCUUGAACACAUUAGUUCCCUGGAAAGGAAGAAGGACUGCUGGGCUGAGGGUGUGGCCACAGCAGGAGUGAAGAGUAGGGGUGAGCUGGCCCAGAGCCUGAGUGAUGCCCGAGGGACACUUCCAGGCCCCGGGGAAACAUUUCCCUGCAUCUUUUGCCCUGCAUCCAAAUGCCAUCACGGAUAGUGGGUAUUGCUGCUGUGGACUUCAGAGAUGGAUACUGCUUCAGAGGGUGGAUAGGAGUUGAGUAGCUAAAGCACUUAGAAAGCCUGGUUUCAUGCACUUAUGCGUGCCGCAACAUUUGAUACAACUGAAACUUG